Molecule: long non-coding RNA, 8743 nt
Organism: Haemorhous mexicanus (house finch)
Lineage: Eukaryota; Metazoa; Chordata; Aves; Passeriformes; Fringillidae
Exons: 2
Source: RefSeq, a predicted model, not a curated record
CCUCCAUGUCCUCAGGGACUGUGAUCUAAGGCUUGAAGAGGUUGAGAUCAGGUCUCCAGCCUGCUCCCUCCCCAGGGCCCAGGCUGCCCUUGGAGAGGCUGGGGAGGGGGCCCAUGGUACAACCUCAUGGCAUGAAAGGAGCCAGCACACCAGAGAUCAGAAGAGAGAUUGGAAAGAAGAGGUGGAGGAAGACAGGAAAGCCCCAGCGGGGUAUCUGCCACCUGCAAGACCAGUCAGACCAGUCUGUCUGACCUUUUGUCAAAGGAAAAAGAAACAAGAUGCAGUGGCACACCACAAAGAGAAGACAAGGCGACCUGCUGGGACAGAGCAGGUGCUCCAGGCUGGAGAGAGGCUCGAGCACCUGCAGCAGCCCAGGGGCUGUCAAGGGACUCCAAGACGUGGUAGCUGCAGUGCAAAAAGUCUGAGGACAGACCCUCCCUCCCCAUCUUUCAAGCUCUCAAAGGCUUUCCUGCAGGGUGGGCAGGCUGAAGAAGAAAUGCACUCCGUGCCUGGGAGCACCACAUGGGGCAAAUGGGAGUGGAGGCAUGAGAGGGAACAGCAGAAUGGGAUGCACGGGAACUACAGGAAAACAGAAAGUGGAAUUCAAAAGAUGCAAGAGGAGGGAGAGAGACUGACAAUGGCUCUCCUUGUAUGAAGGGCUUUGUGCUGGGAAGAGGCUUUGGAGAAAAAUACUGUCCUGCUGUUACCAAGUGGGAAGCUGCCCUUGGAGGCAGGAGGAUCCCUCUGUGGCUGGUGGAACAUCAAUGCCUUGAGACAGCCUGGGAGGCAGCAAGGAUGAAACUUUUUGAAAAUCACUGCCAUAAUCAGGAGUCUGUUGGUCAGUGUGGUUUGUGCCAGCCUGCACCCCUGCGGCAGUUGUACCUCCAGGGAGGUGAUGAAGAGCAGAGCAGUCUCAGGGUCCCAUCUCUCAGCUCGGCCACCAACUCCAACCCCAAGAAGCAUCCAUAGCCACAUCUCAACAGCUGAGAGACUGCCAAAGGUCUAGCAGCUGCAGGAGGGUCUCCAGCUUCUUCUGUGCAGCACGACCCUCGUGGUCGUCGCUGACUAUCAGGAUGACGUGGUUCCAGUUGAAGACUCUCAUCAUCUCAAACCAGACGUUGGCCUGGUGAGAGUAGGGUGGGACCGUGCGCAAAAAGGACAGGUGGAUGCUCUGCAAGGGAGAACAAGAGCUCAACACAGACUGUGGGGCUGUCAGCCACGUUUGCAGGGACAGGGACAGGGAUCCAUUCUGGGAUGCACACCUUGAGCUAACCUCUGGGACCUGCAUCCUUCCUUCUAGCUGGGAAGCAAACCCUGGAUGUGACUUUGCAGCUCUCUGUGGUUAAACCAGGGUAUGGCAAAGAGGGGUUUCUGCUUUGUGCUCCAUAAAUGCACAGAGAAGAAAAGCCUAUCGAGCCAUGAAUGACCAGCAGUGUUCAGUGCAAAUAUAGCCUUGCCUCUUGACCUUUUAAAUGAUUACCAGACAAUGGCAUCAAAAAGCAGAAUUCCCUUCAGAAGGCAAGAGGCAGGUACAGGCAGCUGCGUGCUCGUCAUGUGCCACGGCAGAAGUUCAGAAAGGCAGUUUUAUAACGUGGUCCCUGGCUGUUUCUAGGUCAGCCUGUUCUGCAGCAGCAGGCAGAGGAGGCAGCUCUGGACCCGUGCCCCAGCAAACCUUUCUGCUUGCAUCGGUAUGGUUGGGUGAUUGUGCAAUAGCAAUUCCAGCUUAAUUAAGUACACUGCUCUUAGGGGAGCAAUCAGACCAAAAGCUGGAGCUUUCAAACAAAUGCAGCUUGUCCAAAAAGCCCUAGACUCAAAUAUUAGGAAGUGAAAGUGCUCAUGCUCAGCAUGGACCCUGCUUGACAGCCCAGCUACAUGCUGGAGGGAGGCAGGAGCCAGAACUAGAGAGGACAAAAAUAAAGCACCAUAAUAUUUCUUUCUCUAAGGCUGAGAUGGUUGUCUGAACCAAACAGGUCUUGUCCAGACCUGCUCAUCCAGAGAGACCAGGCCCAGAAUGGGUCAGAAAUGUCCUGAAUGGGCCAAAGUAAUACACACUGGGAAGGAAAAGGUAUUCUGGCCCUCAUGGAUACACACAGGAGGAACAGACACACCAGAUAAAUCCUCUUCCUCACACUCCACACAGGGAUAACGUCAGACCAGACCAUGAAAUGUGUAGAAAAGGAUCCAAACUCCCUGCUGUGCUCAGGGCUCCCUGCACAGGCUCAGCAGGUCCCUGCCCCAGCCCAGCCCAGGGGAACAUGGGAGCAGCAGAGCCACCACAGCACUGGGAACAUUUCCUGAACCUAAGACACUGAGGAGGAGGGUGGAUGUUUAACCAGAGGAGGAAAUAAACCAGGAGAGCCCCAACAAGACUCUCAGAGUAUGACUGAUACAAACAUUGGAGUUACAGGAAGAGCAGCUCACCCCAUAAACCCAUGGGAUUGGGAAAAAGCCCCACAGGGACAAACAAUGGAAAGACAACCAUGGUGCCCACACUAACUCAGUGUGCAAGAGCUCUUUGCAGUCAGCAGAGAUGCCCAGGAAUUUCCAGGUCCAGCUGCACAGCCUGGGCCAGGGACACACCACCUGGGUCUAAGCAUUUUGAAUUUUAAACCCCUGAGCAUUUUUAAUUGGUUUAAGGAAAUCCAGGGAAAGUGAAACUGAAAAUGGGAAAAAAAUCAGAAGAGAGAAAAGAGCUGAAAAAAUAACAGAAAAGACAAUACUAAAAAAAAGAAAUUAGAGAAACACAGGUUAAAAUAUCUAUGAAAAUUCUUUCAAUCCCCUUUUCAAAUGAAAAAAUCUUAGAAAUGUCCAUAUUUUGCAUCAAAUUACUUUCUAGCUUCCCAACCAGCUUGCAAAAAUGAUGUUUAACCAAUCAUGGCUUUCUUAAGAAUUGUAAAUACAUAUCAUUGGGUUCAGAGGAAAAAAAUACUGCAAGGUUGUUGGGGGGCAACUUGGUUUAACAGUCCAGACAAAUUUGCUUUCUGAGGUGGUGUCAAUAGGCUCAUGGACAGACUCUGGUGGUAGCUCCGCACCUGGAUCCCUGAACUGUGGUUUUCAAAUAGGAUAAUGAAGAAAAAUUCAUGUCAAGUGCUGAGCUGAGAUCUCGGGAUGAGCACUCAUGGUCUGGCACAGCUUUUGAAGCACCUGGGACUCCUGAGCAAUCUUUGCAAGGGCCAAAGAUUGGCAGAAAAAUGACCAGAGUCCCCCAGAGGUUCACAUGGGCAGCUUGUGCUGUGCAGAGGCAGGUGAGGAUCCAGCUUGGUGUGAUUUGAUACCCCCUACCCCAGCACACACAGUGACAUCCCCCAGGUCCCUGUCACCUCCCCUGAAACUCAGCACAGAGCUCUGCUGGGCAUAGACACAUGGGCUGCACUGCAGAGGAUGGGGGCAGUGAUUUAUGCACCCUAAUUAGCCCAUUUUUUGGCAAAUACCUGUUAAAAAAGACCUGUGGCUUUUAGCAGAGCCCCUGUGAGACAGCCAGCCCAGCUGGUGGGCUCACUCAGCUGCACCAGCUGUGCUCCUGGUGCUGCUCCAGCCCUUGAACUUGGGGCUCUCAUCACUCCCUCCCCUCGGAUCAGGCGCACAGCAAAACCUGCUCCUCAGUGCAAACCCACACUGGCCUUGUGGGUGCUUUGUAGAAUACUCACCCCUUGCUCUGCUCUGAGUGUGCCUGCUGCCAGCCAGGGCCGGAGUGGGACCAUGGCAAUGGCUCACAGCAACCCCAAAAUUCCUUGCAGCCCACCCACACCUCAGAGCUCAGCCCUGUGCUCCCCCACUUCAUUCUAGCUCUGCAAAAGGGCAGCAAACACAGGCUGGGCUGAAAUCCAGUGCUCAAGCUCAUCAGGAACCCAGGGGCUGGAGCCAAAAAGCACCAGAGGGACCAGGGUUGGGAGGCUGGGGAUAUUUCCUGGCACGGUGGGCAGGCCCUGGCAUAGGGUGCCCAGAGCAGCUGUGGCUGCCCCUGGAUCCCUGGCAGUGCCCAAGGCCAGGCUGGACAGGGCUGGGAGCAGCCUGGGACACUGGGAGGUGUCCCUGCCAUGGCAGGGGUGGGGUGGGAUGGGCUUUGAGGUCACUUCUAACCCAAACCAGUCUGGGAUUGUGUGAUGAUUCUGUGUGGGGUCAGGACUUGAGAACUGCAAAUAUCUGAUUUGAGCCCAUACAGAGAGGAGCUGUUAGAGCAGAUGAUUGUGUGUGUGUGUGUGUGUGUGUGUGUGUGAGAGAGUGUGAGAGAGCACAGACUGAGCAUGCACAGCUGUGACCCUGCCCCUACAGGAAGCAUAGGAGUGCAUCCCCCCUGCAUGGGUGCUGGGUGCUGCACUCCUGUGCACAGCCUGCAGCAUGCUCUGAGCUGGGGGAGGGCACUGGGGGUGCCUUGGCAUGGGGGUUUUGCCCACAGGGGAAAGGGCAUGGCUGGGGGCCAGCAGGCAGUGCCUGGGUGUCCCAUCAGGGCCUUGCAGAGUGUCAUGAGCGAAGGGUUUGUGACCUUCUGCACUCCUGCCUGCCCAGGGGCUCACCCCAAGCUGGGGGCAGGGAUUUUUCCUGCAGGCUGAAGGGAGCAAUGUGCCUUUGCUUCAUUACCUGGCAGUGGGUUCAGCCCCCCUUCUAGCAAUGCAUCCCCCAGCUGAGCUGCCUAGGGAAUUCCAAAGAGCUUUCAGAGAUCCCAAUCUGUAGGGCUCCUGGAAAUCUGGUAAAAUUCACCACCUGGCCAUGAGAAAGAAGUGUUGGCCAGUGUUUCCAUGGAGGGAGCCUGCCCACUGCCCCACAUGACAGCUGUGGAGGUGGGAGGGAGCUGAGGUAGCUCUGAGACAGCUCAGACGAGUGCAGGGAGGGAUUUUGGGGCAGAGCUCAGACUAAAGUGCACUCUCUGCCUUCCCCUGCAGUGCACGGAGGAAGGAAAGGGCAGGGCCACUGUGGGGCUGUGGGGCUGCUCUGUCCUGCUCCCAGCUGGAAUCAGAGCCCGUGGGGAUCUGCUGCCCUGUGGGGGCUCCAUCAGGCCAUCUCUCCACUUCCCUGGCCUGCACAUUCCAGGCUGCCCUCCUGAGGUUUUCCUGCCCUCCUGAGGGUUCUCCUGCCCUGCUGAGGGUUCUCCUGCCCUCCUGAGGGUUCUCCUGCCCUGCUGAGGGUUCUCCUGCCCUGCUGACCUGUGCUCCCCACUCCCAGGACAAACAUCUCUGUGCUGCUCCAAGCAGCUUCUCCAGUCAUCACCUGUGGGUGCCAGUGAAGGAGUACUGACCCUGACCUUGAUCAACAAAAGCCACUUUUGUCCCCACCUGCACCUUCCCAGCCCUAACAGGGCUCCUGCUGAGCAUGGGCUGCCAGUGAGACAGUAGUAAAGCAGAAAACCUUUGCAGUGAACAAGCCCUGUGAGGGCCUGGAAUGGUUCCACUGGGAGCAGGAGCCAGAGGGAAAUCUAUCCCAGAGGGAAAUCCAUCCCCUGGUUGGAGAGAGAGACACACCUCACUCAACCACCAGGGCAAAGUGCUGGAACUGAAGAAGCUCUCCAAUUGCAGCAUGUCUAAACUCCAUUUUCCAACUCCUCCAGCAGCAGAGCAGGUCUCAUAAUUUAUUAAUUUAUUAAUUUAUUAAUUUAUUAAUUUAUCUCCCUGUUCCUCUGCUGCAAUAAUCUGCUGUGGGGUGGUGAGGGGCUCAGCAGCCAGGGUGUCCCUCCAGCCCCACAGGUGCCACGUGGUGGUCUUGAAGGGCACAGACCUUCCUGAGCUGUGCAUCCCCAGCUCUGCUCUCACACUCGGUGUCAGCUCACACUUUUUGUGGUGCCAGGAUGUCAGUGUCAGCUCGUUUGUUCCAGCUGAGAUGCAGAGCAGAGAGAAACACCCCCAGUGGCCUGUGGGGGAGAGAAGCACUGAGGGAAAGUCAGAGGGGGAUUUUUGCAAUGCUCAGCCCAUGAGAUCUCCCUGGAGGGCUCUCCAUAGCCACGGACACCACAGUGAUGGGAAUCACUCUCCUGCCUUUACCUUGAGAGUGCCUCUCUCCCCCAGCUCCCUGCUGACCUCCCUCAGAGGUGAUGGAUCCCAGAGACCCCUCCCCAGUGCUGGGUGAUGAGAGGGCCUUAGUCGAGGAGCAGCUCGUGAUUUCAUGAGAUGUCCAAGGAGGCCAAGCCAGAGUGCUCUGCCUGAUAACUGCAAUAUUAAUUCUAGAACAAAUGGUUAGAUACUGGGACAGUAAAACUCACUUCCCUUGGGUAUCUUUGCUGAAAGACUGGUACAGCUCAUGGACCACUGUACCUGACUGGAGAUGCUGUGAGAGCAUCAAAAGGUUCUGGGCAAACCUGUCCAUGCUGAGGCCCACACCUUUCCUCCCCCGGUAGCCUUGAGAGGACCAAAAUUAACCCAAAUUCAACCCCCUGUGAAAUUCAGCUAAAAUUGUCUGAUGCCUCCAAAACCAAUUAGGGGCGUACAUAAAAAGUGAUCCUACAAGCUUGUUUCCAUAGAAACUAAGCUGAAAGAUAUAAUUUCCUGAAUUAAAACAAAAAAGAAAGCAAGCUGAUCACUGGAAACCAAAAAGGGAACAGCUGAAUAUCCCUGCGUCACCAGGCAGCCUGUCCUGCAUGGGGUGUGCAGUACCUUCCACUGUCCUGUCCCACAGCUCCACACCCCUCUGUCCCUCACUCCACUCCCAUCUUUGCUGUACCCUCUACAGUCCAAACUUCCUUUGUUCCUCUACCCAGUCCCUGCCCGCAGCUCCAUCUCCUGCCCGCAGCUCCUGCUCUUCGCAGAGCUCCAAGCCUUGGUGGGCAGGAGGCUGAGCACGAUGCCAGCCAGGCAGGAGCACUCUGAGGGGUGUGGGGUGGGCAGCCUGGGCUCCCUGCCCAGCCUCUGCCAGGCAGGUGCACCCCUGAACCUGCUCAACACCCCAGAUAUUCCCUGGAGAGCAUCUCCCUGCCAGCACACUGGGUCACCACUCUGGGUGUCUCCCCCAGCCCUGAAGGGAGCCAGGUGGAGGUUAUGAGGCUGCUCUGCAGAAAACAGGUUUUAAAAAGGGCAAGAAUGGCAGGAGAGGACAGGGUCAGCCCUGGGUGUGAGCACUCCAGGGCAGCACAGGAGGGCAGGGCUGCUUUACUGGGCACAGCCCUGCAGAGAUGGAGCAGAGAGGAGGUGCAGGGUCCCCUCUUGCUGCCAUCGUGGGCCCUGUGGCAAGGACCCUCCCAGUGACAUCCCUGUCAGAUCUAUCUCCUCCCCAGAGCAGCAAAAAGCAAAUCCCCCCUGAACACUUCCUGCCUGCUCUGCCAGCUCUGCUGCCAUCCCUUUCCAUCUAACCACGUCUGGUGGGACCCCAGCAGGGUGUGCAGGUCCCCAACCCUGCCAGCCACCAUCACCAUCCUGGCUUGCUGACCACCCUGCCAUGGCUUCCCUUCUGGGAGAUGCCAAAAUCUGCUGCUGCUGCUCCAGCCAAGCAGUGCUGCUGGUGCCUUUCUGGAAGCUUCUGCUCCUCCUCCUGAAAUUUGACUUUAUUUACCAUGUAGGUGGAGUGACUAUUUUUGCACUGAACAUUUACAUUUGUGAAUAUUCACAUUUUCCAAGCAAAGGCUGAUUCGUGUUUCGAAGCAGGCUCGAUCUCACCCACUGAGCUCAUGUGCUGGAUGAAAUCCUGCAAUGGCAUUUGGAAGGCCUGGCUCUCCUCAGCUCCUCCUUUUGCCUUUCCUACGGCUUUAGGUGUUUGCCAAACGGGCUGUGAGCUGAGAGCCAGGGCAGCACCUCAUUGCCCAGGACCUCAUCCAGCCUGGAAGUCUCUGAGUUCCCACAGGGACAACUGAGACACUGGAAUCUGAGCCUCUGUCUUGAGUGCUGACCAGACUGAAUGCCAUGUGAAGCUUCAGGAUAUUCUGUUAUCUCCCCUACCAAUAUCCCACAAACCCAGAGCAGUGAAUGCAACCAAACAACCUCCCGGCCCCAGAGAGAUCCUGCCCAAUGUGCAGGCUCUGACAGGAUCCUCUGGCCCUCCCAGGCCCCCUGAGCCCCCAGGAGCCCCUGGCUGGCGCAGAGAGCAGGGCAGGAGCCAGCCUGUGCCUCUGCCCUGGCUGGAGAGCCGUGAGCCCGGCAGCCUGGCAGAGCAGAGCUGCAGAAAUCAUCCGGGACUAAGUAGGUCAGCACUGGCAGCUGCAAAAAAAUGAUGUACCCUGGAAUGCAGGGGAUAGAGAGAGAGAGAGAGAGAGAGGGAGCUGCAGGCUGGGCUGGAGAGGGUGGAUGGACAGACACAGAGAGUGCAGACAUCAUGAGCCCUCCUGCCGGGCACUGCCGAUUUUCAGCACAUGUAUGAGGUACCAGAGCAGAAGCAUGCAUCAGUUACCUUAUCAGAGUAUAUAGACAUGCGUGUUGUCAGACCAAUGACAGGGAUCCUGUAGAAGCCAGCUGUGUAUGAUACAGGUGUUGGUGUUAGGUGAUCGUUGGGAGCAGGAGGGUGACUAACUAAUAUUGCAUAGACCUGCAGGACAGGAUACACGACACAAACAUUAUUUCACGGGAGCGCAACGGCAGUCAAGAGUGAUUUUUUUUCCCCUUUUUUUUUCUGCAAUGCUAAACAGCCCCAUGUUAACAGGACAAUGGCAUUGCAAUGGCUCGGAAUGGGGAAGCAGGGGCUGUGCUGGGAGCCAGGGGUGCUGUGCCGCGGCUGGAGGAGAUGGCUCUGCUCAGGGUUCCGUCCUAAUGGAAUGCCGUGCCCAGGCGCUCCACUCGCUAAACUAAUAACUUCCAUGGAUUGCAGAUUAAAGGGAAGCAUCUCCCUUCCA